AGGACGAACGCUGGCGGCGUGCUUAACACAUGCAAGUCGAGCGGUAAGGCUCCUUCGGGAGUACACGAGCGGCGAACGGGUGAGUAACACGUGAGCAAUCUGCCCUUCUCAUCGGAAUAACCAUUGGAAACGAUGGCUAAUGCCGAAUAUGACCUCGGAACACAUGUUCUGAGGUGGAAAGCUCCGGCGGAGAAGGAUGAGCUCGCGGCCUAUCAGCUUGUUGGUGUGGUAAUGGCUCACCAAGGCAUUGACGGGUAGCCGGCCGUGAGGAGGGUGACCGGCCACACGUGGGACUGAGACACGGCCCAGACUCCGUACGGGAGCAGCAGGUGGGGAAUAGUGGAACAAUGGGACGAAAGCCUGAUCCAGACAACGCCGCGUGAGGGAUGACGCCGUUCGGUUAGUAAACCUCUUUA
Molecule: ribosomal RNA, 416 nt
Filed under: uncultured soil bacterium
Lineage: Bacteria
Description: bacterial SSU rRNA
Rfam family: Bacterial small subunit ribosomal RNA
Source: RNAcentral